This 251-nucleotide ribosomal RNA is filed under the name uncultured prokaryote. Its description in RNAcentral is "partial 16S rRNA". It matches the Rfam family "Bacterial small subunit ribosomal RNA", at positions 525 to 775 of the family's 1533-position model. The record is from RNAcentral.
ACGGAGGAUCCAAGCGUUAUCCGGAAUUAUUGGGUUUAAAGGGUGCGCAGGUGGAUCAAUAAGUCAGGGGUGAAAAAUUUCAGCUUAACCGGAAUCGUGCCUUUGAUACUGUUGAACUAGAGUAUAAUUGACGUGACUGGAACGUGAAGUGUAGAGGUGAAAUGCUUAGAUAUGUGUCGGAAUGCCGAUAAUGAAGAGAGUUCACUAGAUUAAAACUGACGCUGAUGUACGAAAGCGAGGGGAUCAAACAG